UGGUCGUCCCCGUCGGCGGCAGCGGCCGCCUGCGGUUGAGCUUCGGCGGCUGCGGCAGCUCGUGCGGGCGGAGCGCGGUGCCGAGACCGAGCCCGCGGGGCCGCGCGCCCGGCCGCAGGAGGAGGCGGAGCAGGCGCCGUGGGCGGUGCGGCCGGAGGGCGUGGCAGAUGUCGCUGGCGAAGUAGGGGUCGGCGUGGCCUAGGUUGGAGCGCGAGAAGCUGGAGCGGGGCCGGGGGAGGAGGAGGCGGAGGCCUAGACGGCGAGGAGGGAGUGGGAUGACGCGCGAGGAGGCGCGCCGCGAGAAGCCCGGGCUGUGCGGGCUGGCGGAGCGGAGGAGGCGGCCCCGGAGGAGGAGGAGGCGCCGGAGGGGGCAGCCGAGGGGGCGGCCGCCGUUGUAUAAGGCGAAGUUCCGGCUCCACGGCUCCUUGCGGUUCGCCCGCGAGAAGCGGCCGCCCCUGCUGGUCCUGGACGAGAAGGGGCCGUAGAAGUGGGGGUUCCCGAGGCCGGGGUCCUUCUAGGGGUCCAGCGGGAUGUUCCACGACCUACGCGGGCGUAACGUCCUGCUGAAGAUGGAGUUGGAGCACCUAACCAGAAGCGUGUUACAGGAGAGCCAGCCUAACCCCUUAACGCAGAUGGACACCUUACGUACGUCGUCGUUCCAGUGGUUCGAGACGCUAAACCCCCGCCUGCUGUGGCAAACAAGGCACUCAACCCGCGUCGCACCGUGGGUGGACCGACAUCCCUGAUUGGUUCCGUGGCAGGUCUAUACCCUACGUUGUGCGACAUUUUCUUACUCUUGGUACCUUUCGGUAGCGUACGCUCAUCCACGAGAACGUACCUUGAGAAGUAACGAAAGAAGACCGUCAGCACUGUUCUUGUAGGAAGUAGUACUAGAGGCACGAGGCCUCCUGAUACAAUCGUUUGAGUGGCCCGUAUUUAGACUCCAGACACCCGAGUUCACCAGAAUACUAUUGGCAGUCGAACGUAGACCACCUUUGCUGUUGUUUGAAAAACAAACCUUAGUUGUAAGUCAUGUCGGUCACGACUUCAUAUGACUCGUGUGUCGUCGACACUUUCGAUAACGGACCAGUGGAGUAGAUGUGCCGGAAGAACGUAGACCACCACCUUGACGUCUAUCCACGUAUUCUAAAACCUUAUGCUGGUGUUUAUGUGUGAACUCAAGGUACCUAUGUCCCUCAGUCCAGACAUUAGAACACACCAGUUUCUUACACUUACUCGAACAAUCGUGUGUGCCUAUGAGGGUCUUAGUCUAUUAUCACACCGCCAUAGGUUGCUACAGUUUCGAACGGUGCAACUGUCCUGUAUGUAAGUCUCAUAAUAUAAAUCGGUAGAGGGGACUACCUGUCCACUUUAUGAGGGAGAAACUAGGGAUAUAUACGAUACCUGGACUGUAAAACAAAAUC
This 1424-nucleotide ribosomal RNA is filed under the name Triticum aestivum (bread wheat). Its description in RNAcentral is "partial small subunit ribosomal RNA". The record is from RNAcentral. Lineage: Eukaryota; Viridiplantae; Streptophyta; Magnoliopsida; Poales; Poaceae.